GGAGUUGUGGCUCAGUGGCAGAGCGCCUGCCUUGCACAUGUGAGGCACUGAGUUCGAUCCUCAGCACCA
RNAcentral lists this transfer RNA (69 nucleotides) under Marmota monax (woodchuck). It matches the Rfam family "tRNA". Rfam says of the family: Transfer RNA (tRNA) molecules are approximately 80 nucleotides in length. Lineage: Eukaryota; Metazoa; Chordata; Mammalia; Rodentia; Sciuridae. The record is from Rfam by way of RNAcentral.